GUCCUUAUGAUGCUAGUCCAUGAUGCCUGUCAUUAUGAUGCUAGUCCUUAUGAUGCUAGUCCUUAUGAUGCUAGUGCUUAUGAUGCCUGUCAUUAUGAUGCUCGUCCAUGAUGCUAGUGCUUAUGAUGCCUGUCAUUAUGAUGCUAGUCCUUUGGUUAGAACAGGGAAUAAACUGAUAUCAGUGAAUCAACAACAGAAGAUACAUGGAACUAAUGGUCAUUGAGACCGAGAGAAACGUCACGACUUUCCUUGGUUUAACGAAAGUCAAACCACAACUUCUAAAAAGGAAAAGGUGUACCGGUCAGAAAUGGCUCCUUGAUUUUGGAUUAGUGAAAUCAUUCACAAAUGUGUUUAACGGAGGGACAAAAUGAAAAGUGGAAGAUUCAUUUGAAAUGGUUUUGUUUUGUUGAUAGUAGUAACCCUGUGCAUCAACAUGUAUUUGUCCUUGAAGUAGCAGAAGGUUUUUGGUCUUCUCUGGUAUCCAGAAGGUUUUUGGUCUUCUCUGGUAUCCAGAAGGUUUUUGGUCUUCUCUGGUAUCCAGAAGGUUUUUGGUCUUCUCUGGUAUCCAGAAGGUUUUUGGUCUUCUCUGGUAUCCAGAAGGUUUUUGGUCUUCUCUGGUAUCCAGAAGGUUUUUGGUCUUCUCUGGUAUCCAGAAGGUUUUUGGUCUUCUCUGGUAUCCAGAAGGUUUUUGGUCUUCUCUGGUAUCCAGAAGGUUUUUGGUCUUCUCUGGUAUCCAGAAGGUUUUUGGUCUUCUCUGGUAUCGUUGGCAUCUUUUCCAGUCUGCUCCCCCUCUCCUUCCUAGAAGGGCUAAAAUAAUGAGUCAGAUGUUAUUUUAGAACGACAUGUUCUUUCAGAGCCUCAACAUGUCAGGGCAUGUUAUGAAGCCUUAUAACCUCCGAUAAAUGUUAUUAAUCCUUACAUAAACUUCAAAUUAGUACAAAUGGAACGACAAAGGCCAUUUUAAACACACAUUUGGAUUUAGCCUGAAUGUCUUAAAAAUAUUAAAGUCAUUAAAGUUUUACGAUUUAAAGUCAAGUUAUCCACUUGCGUCAAUGAAUGGGAUUAUGAUUAUAGAAUUUUGUAAAGUAAUCGACAUUGGGAUUAGAUUUAGUUGAUGUGUCUCUGACGACUGGAAAUAAUUCCGUAAUACUAAAUAAUGUUACAUGACGCCGUCUCAUCAGCCUCACGGCACGUCUCUCACCGGCUUUGCAAAUGAGCAGGAUAGGCUAACGUUGAAGAGUUAUAAAUAGCCACGUAACCAUUCAGUUCCAGUUUACACUGAAAGGGGAAGCCGUGUCUCAAAUGGCAUCCUAUUCCCUUUCUAGGGUACUACUUCCCCACGGGGCUCUUGUCAAAGGUAGUGCACUAUAUGGGGAGUAGGGUAGCAUUUGGGACGUACUUCCCCACGGGGCUCUUGUCAAAGGUAGUGUACUAUAUAGGGUGUAGGUUGGCAUUUGGGACGCAGUUCCCCACGGGGCUCUUGUCAAAGGUAGUGCACUAUAUAGGGAGUAGGGUGGCAUUAGGGUACUACUUCCCCACGGGGCUCUUGUCAAAGGUAGUGCACUAUAUAGGGAGUAGGGUGGCAUUUGGGACGCUGUUCCCCACGGGGCUCUUGUCAAAGGUAGUGCACUAUAUAGGGAGUAGGGUGGCAUUUGGGACGUGGCCUGAAGUUCUGUGCCACCACAGAUAUGUGCUUGUUAUUUUGGCUCAUGUGUUUUUUGUUGGCCUCUGGCGGUUGGGUGUGUACACACUACUACACUGAGCCACAAUGGCAGGCCUGUGAACCUAGAGAGGCUGAGCAGACAGCAGAACACUGAGGCCACUCUCUGAGACCCAGGGAACUGCCUGUACCUUGUAGCACAUUACCCCACCUAGAUUUGUCUCGUCAACACCAACUCCCAUCGCAGGUUCGUAUUCACUAGACGCCAAACAUAAGAAAACAGACUGAAACAGGGAAGGAAUAACUGAACUUGUCCAGUAAGAAACGCUUAGUUUUGGAUUAUCUGUUGCAAAACGUUUUGCUACAGUGUGCGCUAAUGAAUAACAACCCAACUCUUAUUUCAGACCUGUAUGAUAUCAUGUUGACUAACUUGUAAAGGGCAAGCCUAUGUGUAACUCUGUGUUGUUGUAUUGGGUCGAAUUGCUAUGCUUUAUCUUGGCCAGGUCGCAGUUGUAAAUGAGACCUUGUUCUCAACUGGCCUACCUGGUUAAAUAAAGGUGUUCUCAACUAGCCUACCUGGUUAAAUAAAGGUGUUCUCAACUAGCCUACCUGGUUAAAUAAUGGUGUUCUCAACUAGCCUACCUGGUUAAAUAAAGGUGUUCUCAACUAGCCUACCUGGUUAAAUAAAGGUGUUCUCAACUAGCCUACCUGGUUAAAUAAAGGUGUUCUCAACUAGCCUACCUGGUUAAAUAAAGGUGUUCUCAACUAGCCUACCUGGUUAAAUAAAGGUGUUCUCAACUAGCCUACCUGGUUAAAUAAAGGUGUUCUCAACUGGCCUACCUGGUUAAAUAAAGGUGUUCUCAACUGGCCUACCUGGUUAAAUAAAGGUGUUCUCAACUAGCCUACCUGGUUAAAUAAAGGUGUUCUCAACUAGCCUACCUGGUUAAAUAAAGGUGUUCUCAACUAGCCUACCUGGUUAAAUAAAGGUGUUCUCAACUGGCCUACCUGGUUAAAUAAAGGUGUUCUCAACUAGCCUACCUGGUUAAAUAAAGGUGUUCUCAACUAGCCUACCUGGUUAAAUAAAGGUGUUCUCAACUAGCCUACCUGGUUAAAUAAAGGUGUUCUCAACUGGCCUACCUGGUUAAAUAAAGGUGUUCUCAACUAGCCUACCUGGUUAAAUAAAGGUGUUCUCAACUAGCCUACCUGGUUAAAUAAAGGUGUUCUCAACUUGCCUACCUGGUUAAAUAAAGGUU
This is a long non-coding RNA of Oncorhynchus keta (chum salmon), 2913 nucleotides long. RefSeq lists it as uncharacterized. NCBI's taxonomy places the organism in Eukaryota, Metazoa, Chordata, Actinopteri, Salmoniformes, Salmonidae. The transcript has 2 exons. The record is from RefSeq and is a predicted model, not a curated record.